This 505-nucleotide ribosomal RNA is filed under the name uncultured soil bacterium. RNAcentral describes it as "bacterial SSU rRNA". It matches the Rfam family "Bacterial small subunit ribosomal RNA", at positions 8 to 494 of the family's 1533-position model. The record is from RNAcentral.
AGAGUUUGAUCCUGGCUCAGAAUGAACGCUGGCGGCGUGCUUAACACAUGCAAGUCGAACGAGGCGGAAGGGGGCAACUCCUUCCAGUCGAGUGGCGGACGGGUGAGUAACACGUGGGUAACCUGCCCGGAAGUGGGGAAUACCUCGGGGAAACUCGAGCUAAUACCGCAUGACAUCUUCGGGACGAAAGUCCUGGUGGUCAAAGCGGGGUCGCAAGAUCUCGCGCUACCGGAUGGGCCCGCGCCCGAUUAGCUAGUUGGCGAGGUAACGGCUCACCAAGGCUUCGAUCGGUAACCGGCCUGAGAGGGCGAUCGGUCACACCGGAACUGAGACACGGUCCGGACUCCUACGGGAGGCAGCAGUGGGGAAUCUUGCGCAAUGGGCGAAAGCCUGACGCAGCAACGCCGCGUGGAGGAUGAAGGCCCUUGGGUUGUAAUAUCGGGGGGCUGGGCAGAGAGUAGCCGGGGCCAUACCGCUGGGUCUGACUUACAGCGUAGUAGAGCUU